UUACAAAUAUCGCUGAGGCGAUUCUAAAGUGAAUUAAAAUGUAAAAUAUUCAACAAUAUGGCUGAACCACCGAAUCUCACGGCCCGAGAAGUGCAGCAGGUAUUUGCAGAGAUUCUCAGCCAUGGCGAGGACAUCACCUGGGAUCUAUUGCUGCAGAAUCAACGAGACAUUCUAAAAAGGAAAGUUCGAGAAAUAUUUAAUCAGAGACAUAAAUAAUUCUGGACAACGUUUGGACUCUACGUAAAUGCGCCAACGGCCAGUCCCUUUCUGCGUUGUUCUUUGCGGUUAUUGUGAAUGGAGUGACCGACUUGAAGGAGGCAGAGAAUAGCAGAUCCUGGUCGAUCCACCCAGUUUUCCGCUGCCGUCGCUGCGAUGGUAAUGUCGUACAUUAAAGUAGUUUCAAAUUGAUCCAAUUGCAUAUGCCUAUCACUAUAUCCACGGAUGGAGGGAUGAGCAGCAGCCCAGACUGUUGCGUGAUGUAUGUGGAUCAAAGCGGGCUCUUUGAGGACUGGGAUACAUACUUAAAGCGCACAGCUCUUCCCGCAGGUUAUGGUAACCUGGGAUCGAGGAGUCUACAAACUGAUCGAUGGCCAGGUUGAGCUAAAAAGCUUAUUUGAUAACGGAGAAAAUGUACACACGCAAUGCGUGCUUCAUAACGUCUGAAGGUCUGAAGGCAGCCUUGGAAUUUCCUGGAGUGCAUCGGCUUUACUCGGAAUCAAGAUCUAGAUAUAUAUUGCAAGUAACAUGCAAUGCAAUUCUACUACACAUAUAAGAGCGAGCGACAAAGUGCUAUACCUGCUUUUGUAUGAUACUUUUAAUCUCUGGUAUAUGUAUGAGAAACGUUCUAUUUGUGCUC
Long non-coding RNA from Drosophila guanche, 856 nucleotides. RefSeq lists it as uncharacterized. Lineage: Eukaryota; Metazoa; Arthropoda; Insecta; Diptera; Drosophilidae. The record is from RefSeq and is a predicted model, not a curated record. The transcript has 3 exons.